AACGAACGCUGGCGGCAUGCCUAACACAUGCAAGUCGAACGAGACCUUCGGGUCUAGUCGCGCACGGGUGCGUAACGCGUGGGAACCUGCCCUUAGGUUCGGAAUAACUCCCCGAAAGGGGUGCUAAUACCGGAUAAUGUCUUCGGACCAAAGAUUUAUCGCCUUUGGAUGGGCCCGCGUUGGAUUAGCUAGUUGGUAGGGUAAAAGCCUACCAAGGCGACGAUCCAUAGCUGGUCUGAGAGGAUGAUCAGCCACACUGGGACUGAGACACGGCCCAGACUCCGACGGGAGGAAGCAGGGGGGAAUAGUGGACAAUGGGCGAAAGCCUGAGCCAGCAAUGCCGCGUGAGUGAUGAAGGCCUUAGGGUUGUAAAGCUCUUUUACCCGGGAUGAUAAUGACAGGACCGGGAGAAUAAGCUCCGGCUAACUCCGU
Molecule: ribosomal RNA, 432 nt
Filed under: uncultured bacterium
Lineage: Bacteria
Description: partial 16S ribosomal RNA
Rfam family: Bacterial small subunit ribosomal RNA
Source: RNAcentral